GCCUUUUGAUUUUGCAGAAGUCACAGUGUUUUUCACAGAGACAAACCUCUGCAUAUGGAAGGUAGCUGCAGGCCGGUGUUAACAUUGGCGAGCCCUCUUGCUGUCUGUGUCACCAGGAAAAGCACAGGAUUGUACUUGUGCUCCAAACUUCUGAUUUUGCUUUUCUCUACCAAGUGCUUUUCACCUGAACUAUUGUAUUGGAAGUCUGCAACAAAUUGAAUUUCAGCAUUGUAAUGAAUGCCCUGACCACAACAGCAGAAGACACAUUUUGUUGAUUAAUCAAAACCACCUUCACACCAUCAUGAAGAACUGGCUUACACUGAGUUGAGCAAGCAAUCAUUUUUACUCUAAUUCUGGUGUAUUUUUUUCACAGUCAAGUACAAGCUUUUUGCAAACCCAGAUACCAGUG
This is a long non-coding RNA of Lagopus leucura (white-tailed ptarmigan), 409 nucleotides long. RefSeq lists it as uncharacterized. The transcript is spliced from 3 exons. The record is from RefSeq and is a predicted model, not a curated record. Lineage: Eukaryota; Metazoa; Chordata; Aves; Galliformes; Phasianidae.